CAGCCGGGUAAUUCCAGCUCCAAUAGCGUAUAUUAAAGUUGUUGCAGUUAAAAAGCUCGUAGUUGAAUUUCGGGAUUGACGUGAUGGUCAUGCCUUAAGGGGUAUGAACUGUUACAGUUGAUUUCUCACCUUCUGGAGAAACUUGAUGUCCUUUAUUGGGUGUCUUGCGGAUCCAGGACCUUUACCUUGAAAAAAUUAGAGUGUUUAAAGCAGGCAUUUUUGCUCGAAUACAUUAGCAUGGAAUAAUAGAAUAGGACGGCAUGGUUCUAUUUUGUUGGUUUCUAGGAUCACCGUAAUGAUUAAUAGGGAUAGUUGGGGGCAUUAGUAUUCAAUUGUCAGAGGUGAAAUUCUUGGAUUUAUUGAAGACUAACUACUGCGAAAGCAUUUGCCAAGGAUGUUUUCAUUAAUCAAGAACGAAAGUUAGGGGAUCGAAGACGAUCAGAUACCGUCGUAGUCUUAACCAUAAACUAUGCCGACUAGGAAUCAGACGAUGUUAAUUUUUUAAUGACUCGUUUGGCACCUUACG
This 526-nucleotide unclassified non-coding RNA is filed under the name uncultured Glomeromycotina. Its description in RNAcentral is "SSU rRNA". It matches the Rfam family "Eukaryotic small subunit ribosomal RNA", at positions 571 to 1092 of the family's 1831-position model. Lineage: Eukaryota; Fungi; Glomeromycota. The record is from RNAcentral.